UUCAAUGUCCCGCUUUGAUACCAUAUUGAAAGGGAGACAAACAAACACACAACUUUACGUGAAAACCCAAGUAUCGGAAGAAAAAUCACGAUAUUUUUCUUCUUAUUAUUUUAUGAUAAAUGAUACAAUAGGUACGAGGGAGAAUAAGUAAAAUUAGAUUCUUAUCAUUAUGAACAGAUUCUUUAUCAACAAAAUCAGAAAAAUAUGCAAAAGAAUCGGACAAUGGCUAACUUUACUGAGAGAAUAGAAAAAUGUCUGCAAAACUGAGGGAAACCACAUGGGAAAAACCUUCAACGACUAUCCACAAAAAAAUACGUAGGCUAGAAAACAAUCUCAAAUUGACAGCACAUCGGGGACAAAAAGUGAAUAAGAUGAGCGGAGUAAAGAAGGUAAAAUGUGCGAGGAAGAGCCAAUUUUGGAAGAAAGAAAAAAAAUUAAAGAAAAAGAAUAUAAAGCUAUUUUCAAAAUGGGAAGGGCACAGUCUAAUUUGGAAGAAAAAUCAAGAAACCCCUACAAACUUACAUUUGGGUACUUAGGCGAAAUUGUUGACAAAGCAGAGGUGAUAGGAAAUAAGCACCGGAUGUAAAAGGAAGAUCACGCGGUUGAAGAAGAGAAUAGAGCAGAAAUUAACCUUGACCACAAUUACCAAAAUAGACAACAAGAGAAUCAACACCUAUUGUAAUUGGUAUGAAAAAAAUGUGCAAGAUUUACCAACAAUCGUUCAAGUACAACCAAAGAUCAAGGUUAUAUCAAAAUCAUUUUCCUCCCACCUAUGGUAAUUGGUAUGAAAAAAAUGUGCAAGAUUUACCAACAAUCGUUCAAGUACAACCAAAGAUCAAGGUUAUAUCAAAAUCAUUUUCCUCCCUUCCUUGAGUAGUCUGCAUAUAUUUUAACAACAAAGGAUUGUUUAAACAAC
This 916-nucleotide long non-coding RNA is filed under the name Cucumis sativus (cucumber). RNAcentral describes it as "long non-coding RNA (CSAT_LNC001618)". The record is from RNAcentral. Lineage: Eukaryota; Viridiplantae; Streptophyta; Magnoliopsida; Cucurbitales; Cucurbitaceae.